CGAGUGAAGCGGUAACAGCUCAAAUUUGAAAUCUGGCUCUUUCAGGGUCCGAGUUGUAAUUUGUAGAAGAUGUUUCGGGUGUGGCUCCGGUCUAAGUUCCUUGGAACAGGACGUCGUAGAGGGUGAGAAUCCCGUAUGUGACUGGCUGCCUCCGCCCAUGUGAAACUCUUUCGACGAGUCGAGUUGUUUGGGAAUGCAGCUCAAAAUGGGUGGUAAAUUUCAUCUAAAGCUAAAUAUUGGCCAGAGACCGAUAGCGCACAAGUAGAGUGAUCGAAAGAUGAAAAGCACUUUGGAAAGAGAGUUAAACAGUACGUGAAAUUGUUGAAAGGGAAGCGCUUGCAAUCAGACUUGCGCGCGGCCGAUCAUCCGGGGUUCUCCCCGGUGCACUCGGUCGCGUUCAGGCCAGCAUCGGUUUGGGUGGUGGGAUAAAGGCCUUGGGAAUGUAGCUUCUUUCGGGGAGUGUUAUAGCCCUCGGUGCAAUGCCGCCUAUCCAGACCGAGGACCGCGCUUCGGCUAGGAUGCUGGCGUAAUGGUUGUAAGCGACCCGUCUUGAAACACGGACCAAGGAGUCUAACACUUAUGCGAGUAUUUGGGUGUCAAACCCAUAUGCGUAAUGAAAGUGAACGGAGGUGAGAACCCUUAAGGGUGCAUCAUCGACCGGUCCUGAUGUCUUCGGAUGGAUCUGAGUAAGAGCAUAAUUGUUAGGACCCGAAAGAAGGUGAACUAUGCCUGAAUAGGGUGAAGCCAGAGGAAACUCUGGUGGAGGCUCGCAGCGGUUCUGACGUGCAAAUCGAUCGUCAAA
Molecule: ribosomal RNA, 802 nt
Filed under: Helotiales sp.
Lineage: Eukaryota; Fungi; Ascomycota; Leotiomycetes; Helotiales
Description: partial large subunit ribosomal RNA
Rfam family: Eukaryotic large subunit ribosomal RNA
Source: RNAcentral